RNAcentral lists this ribosomal RNA (296 nucleotides) under uncultured bacterium. RNAcentral's name for it is "partial 16S ribosomal RNA". It matches the Rfam family "Bacterial small subunit ribosomal RNA", at positions 524 to 798 of the family's 1533-position model. The record is from RNAcentral.
GACGUAGGGCGCGAGCGUUGUCCGGAUUUAUUGGGCGUAAAGAGCUCGUAGGCGGCUUGUCGCGUCGACUGUGAAAACCCGCGGCUCAACCGCGGGCCUGCAGCCGAUACGGGCAGGCUAGAGUCGGUAGGGGAGACUGGAAUUCCUGGUGUAGCGGUGAAAUGCGUAGAGAUCAGGAAGAACACCGGUGGCGAAAGCGCUCUGCUGGACCUAACUGACAUGAGGACGAAAGGCUAAGGGGAGCGAAGUGGGAUUGAAUGGAUUACCCGUUAGUAAGCUUCCAGACCCAAGUCCUA